UUUAGUGUCAUAUCCCAUACUAUGUAUUUACUCUUGCUGUGAAAUUAGAUCAUUCAGUAGCUUUGGAUGAGGACUGAAAAAAAUUAUACAGUUCUAUAUUUAAGAGAUGAGGAAUUAUGCACAUUGUUUACAUUAUUUACAUUUGAGAGGUAUUUGUCCUCAUCUUGUUUGUUGUUAACACGUUUCAGCUAAUACCCGCCUCCAGCCUUCUUCAGGUGUCUUGGGGAAAUUUCGAACCUGAGCUCUCAUUCCUAAGUCCAGUAAAUGGAGGGUAGCAAGGUGUGGGUUGAUGUGUUGUGGGUGAAGAACAUACCCUGGAGAAAUACUUCCUGGCUACAAAUCGAUCCAAGUUAAGGAUAUAGUGAAAUUACUAUUACUUUCCUUAAUAUAUUGCAAACAUCUACCAUCUUUGUUUAUGGUACAAUUUCAUUAAAUGGGAGACCUCUAUUAGGCCAGAUGUGAUCUAAAUUAAUUGGAAAUGCAAUUAGACAUCAAUAAAAGACAUUUCUGUUAUAGUUA
Long non-coding RNA from Octopus bimaculoides (California two-spot octopus), 519 nucleotides. RefSeq lists it as uncharacterized. NCBI's taxonomy places the organism in Eukaryota, Metazoa, Mollusca, Cephalopoda, Octopoda, Octopodidae. The record is from RefSeq and is a predicted model, not a curated record.